Molecule: small nuclear RNA, 105 nt
Organism: Ailuropoda melanoleuca (giant panda)
Lineage: Eukaryota; Metazoa; Chordata; Mammalia; Carnivora; Ursidae
Source: Ensembl
GUGCUCACUUUGGCAGCACUUAUACUAAGACUGGAACGAAACAGAGAUUAGCAUAGGCCCCUGCACAAGAGCGACAUGCAAAUUCGUGAAGCGUUCCAUGUUUUU